RNAcentral lists this ribosomal RNA (253 nucleotides) under uncultured bacterium. RNAcentral describes it as "partial 16S ribosomal RNA". It matches the Rfam family "Bacterial small subunit ribosomal RNA", at positions 524 to 776 of the family's 1533-position model. The record is from RNAcentral.
UACGUAGGGUGCAAGCGUUGUCCGGAAUCACUGGGCGUAAAGCGCACGUAGGCGGGUCCUUAAGUCAGGAGUGAAAUCCUGGAGCUCAACUCCAGAACUGCCCUUGAUACUGAGGAUCUCGAGUUCGGGAGAGGUGAGUGGAACUGCGAGUGUAGAGGUGAAAUUCGUAGAUAUUCGCAAGAACACCAGUGGCGAAGGCGGCUCACUGGCCCGAUACUGACGCUGAGGUGCGAAAGCGUGGGGAGCAAACAGG